AUUGAACGCUGGUGGCAUGCUUUACACAUGCAAGUCGAACGGUAACAGGCCUUCGGGUGCUGACGAGUGGCGAACGGGUGCGUAAUGCAUCGGAACGUACCCAGAGGUGGGGGAUAACGCAGCGAAAGCUGUGCUAAUACCGCAUGUGAUCUGAGGAUGAAAGCGGGGGACCGAGCAGCAAUGUUUGGCCUCGCGCCUUUGGAGCGGCCCAUGUCGGAUUAGCUAGUUGGUGGGGUAAAGGCCUACCAAGGCGACGAUCCGUAGCUGGUCUGAGAGGACGACCAGCCACACUGGGACUGAGACACGGCCCAGACUCCUACGGGAGGCAGCAGUGGGGAAUUUUGGACAAUGGGCGCAAGCCUGAUCCAGCAAUGCCGCGUGCGGGAAGAAGGCCUUCGGGUUGUAAACCGCUUUUGGCAGGAACGAAACGGUGUCCGCUAAUACCGGGCGCUAAUGACGGUACCUGCAGAAUAAGCACCGGCUAACUACGUG
Molecule: ribosomal RNA, 492 nt
Filed under: uncultured bacterium
Lineage: Bacteria
Description: partial 16S ribosomal RNA
Rfam family: Bacterial small subunit ribosomal RNA
Source: RNAcentral